RNAcentral lists this ribosomal RNA (254 nucleotides) under uncultured prokaryote. RNAcentral's name for it is "partial 16S ribosomal RNA". It matches the Rfam family "Bacterial small subunit ribosomal RNA", at positions 524 to 776 of the family's 1533-position model. The record is from RNAcentral.
UACGGGGGGGGGCAAGCGUUGUUCGGAAUUACUGGGCGUAAAGGGCUCGUAGGUGGCCAAUUAAGUCAGACGUGAAAUCCCCAGGCUCAACCUGGGAACUGCGUCUGAUACUGGUUGGCUUGAAUUCGGGAGAGGGAUGUGGAAUUCCAGGUGUAGCGGUGAAAUGCGUAGAUAUCUGGAGGAACACCGGUGGCGAAGGCGGCAUCCUGGACCGGCAUUGACGCUGAGGCGCGAAAGCCAGGGGAGCAAACGGG